AUAGAGCAACAGCUUCUAUGCGGUUUCUUGUUAGCCCCGUUAAUCUUCUUCUCAGUCGCCAAACUUGCUGAAGAUUAUCGGGGUUUUCACUU
Molecule: antisense RNA, 92 nt
Filed under: Escherichia coli
Lineage: Bacteria; Pseudomonadati; Pseudomonadota; Gammaproteobacteria; Enterobacterales; Enterobacteriaceae
Also listed under: 1 other name
Description: CopA-like RNA
Rfam family: CopA-like RNA
About the family: In several groups of bacterial plasmids, antisense RNAs regulate copy number through inhibition of replication initiator protein synthesis. These RNAs are characterised by a long hairpin structure interrupted by several unpaired residues or bulged loops.
Source: Rfam by way of RNAcentral